UACGUAGGGUGCAAGCGUUAAUCGGAAUUACUGGGCGUAAAGCGUGCGCAGGCGGUUUUGUAAGACAGAGGUGGAAUCCCCGGGCUCAACCUGGGAACUGCCUUUGUGACUGCAAGGCUUGAGUGCGGCAGAGGGGGAUGGAAUUCCGCGUGUAGCAGUGAAAUGCGUAGAUAUGCGGAGGAACACCGAUGGCGAAGGCAAUCCCCUGGGCCUGCACUGACGCUCAUGCACGAAAGCGUGGGGAGCAAACAGG
This 253-nucleotide ribosomal RNA is filed under the name uncultured bacterium. RNAcentral describes it as "partial 16S ribosomal RNA". It matches the Rfam family "Bacterial small subunit ribosomal RNA", at positions 524 to 776 of the family's 1533-position model. The record is from RNAcentral.